Molecule: long non-coding RNA, 304 nt
Organism: Aplysia californica (California sea hare)
Lineage: Eukaryota; Metazoa; Mollusca; Gastropoda; Aplysiida; Aplysiidae
Exons: 2
Source: RefSeq, a predicted model, not a curated record
AGUACAGUCAUAUUCCUGUGUAUGCUCCCCCCAGGCUGUCCCCCAUCCCACGUGACCUCCAGGGACAAGCUGCGUUCUACGAGGCCAACUUGUCAGGACAAGCUGCUUUCUUUUCGGCGCAGGUGGCUGGAUAUGAUUCAAACUGUACGACUGACGAGCUAGACAUGGCGUUCGUCCUCGACGGAUCAGGGAGCGUUUCUACCAUUCCAUAUGCACAAUCCAAGAAAUUUAUAGCAGACGUUAUUGGACAUUUCAACGUGGGCUAUGAUUCCGUUCGUGUUGCCUUGGCUUCUUUCGGCACUGA